RNAcentral lists this ribosomal RNA (885 nucleotides) under uncultured bacterium. RNAcentral describes it as "bacterial SSU rRNA". It matches the Rfam family "Bacterial small subunit ribosomal RNA", at positions 8 to 916 of the family's 1533-position model. The record is from RNAcentral.
AGAGUUUGAUCCUGGCUCAGGAUGAACGCUGGCGGCGUGCCUAACACAUGCAAGUCGAACGAAGAGGCCCCUUCGGGGGUGCUUCAGUGGCGGACGGGUGAGUAACACGUAGGUGACCUGCCCCGAAGCAGGGGAUAACGGCUCGAAAGGGCCGCUAAUACCCAAAAGGAUCGCGAGUCGCAUCGUGAUCAGAGUUACGGCGUUUCGGGAGGGGCCUGCGGCCCAUCAGCUAGUUGGCAGGGUAAUGGCCUACCAAGGCAACGACGGGUAGGGGACCUGAGAGGGUGACCCCCCACAUUGGCACUGACACACGGGCCAAACUCCUACGGGAGGCAGCAGUGAGGAAUAUUGCACAAUGAGCGAAAGCUAGAUGCAGCAACGCCGCGUGGACGAUGAAGGCCUUCGGGUCGUAAAGUCCUUUUCAGGGGGACGAGUGAGGACGGUACCUCUGGAAUAAGUCACGGCUAACUACGUGCCAGCAGCCGCGGUAAAACGUAGGUGGCGAGCGUUACCCGGAUUCACUGGGCGUAAAGCGCCUGCAGGCGGUCUUGUAAGUGGGAUGUGAAAUCUCCUGGCUUAACUGGGAGGGGCCAUUCCAUACUGCGAGACUUGAGGGCAGAAGAGGGAAGUGGAAUUCCCGGUGUAGUGGUGAAAUGCGUAGAUAUCGGGAGGAACACCAGUGGCGAAGGCGACUGCCUGGUCUGCUCCUAACGCUAAGAGGCGAAAGCUAGGGGAGCGAACGGGAUUAGAAACCCCGGUAGUCCUAGCUAUAAACGAUGGAUACUAGGUGUUGGUGGUCCUAACCCCAUCAGUGCCGAAGCUAACGCGUUAAGUAUCCCGCCUGGGGACUACGGCCGCAAGGUUAAAACUCAAAGGAAUUGACGG